Ananas comosus (pineapple) is the source of this 346-nucleotide long non-coding RNA. RefSeq lists it as uncharacterized. The transcript is spliced from 3 exons. Lineage: Eukaryota; Viridiplantae; Streptophyta; Magnoliopsida; Poales; Bromeliaceae. The record is from RefSeq and is a predicted model, not a curated record.
UUUUGAUUUGGGAUCCGAGGUGGAGAGCGACGAUGAGAUUUGCGAGAUCUUUCGAUUUCUUUCCUGGUUGAUGGGCCUCGCUCUUGAUUUGUUUCUUUUGGUAGAAAUUUCUCUCUUUUGUUUGCAAUUGAGUGCGAACUGUGGGGGAAAAGAGGAAGGAUUGGAGAGGAUGGGUUAUUUGAGCACGAUUGGGGGAGAUGGAUCACCCGUUAGCGGAGGAGGACUCAGGAUAUAUUCUGAAUGUCCACAUCCUCCGCCCUUUCGCACCAACAAACAACAAAAAAAGUGAGAAUGGAAAGUUUAAUUAUGGAUAUGCAAGCUCUCCGGGAAAAAGAGCUUCAAUGGA